AUAGCGUAUAUUAAAGUUGUUGCAGUUAAAAAGCUCGUAGUUGAACUUCAGAUUUGGUCGGGUGGUCUUGCCGAAAGGUAAGCACUGCUCUGGUCGGGUCUUUCCUUCUGGGGAACCUGUGUGCUCUUAAUUGAGUGCGCAGGGGAUCCAGGACUUUUACUUUGAAAAAAUUAGAGUGUUUAAAGCAGGCUUACGCUUGAAUACAUUAGCAUGGAAUAAUAGAAUAGGACUUUGGUUCUAUUUUGUUGGUUUCUAGGACCGAAGUAAUGAUUAAUAGGGAUAGUUGGGGGCAUUAGUAUUUAAUUGUCAGAGGUGAAAUUCUUGGAUUUAUGAAAGACUAACUUCUG
RNAcentral lists this ribosomal RNA (347 nucleotides) under uncultured eukaryote. Its description in RNAcentral is "SSU rRNA". It matches the Rfam family "Eukaryotic small subunit ribosomal RNA", at positions 594 to 945 of the family's 1831-position model. The record is from RNAcentral.